This 2978-nucleotide long non-coding RNA is filed under the name Homo sapiens (human). RNAcentral's name for it is "PREDICTED lncRNA (TCONS_00050715)". The record is from RNAcentral. Lineage: Eukaryota; Metazoa; Chordata; Mammalia; Primates; Hominidae.
CUUCCUUCUGAGUCUCGGGCAGGGCCCUCUCUGGAAUGGAGGUCUUGGGACCUACAAUGAAACAAGACAGAUCAGUGAAGAUCCCGGUGUUACACAUCCAAUCGUUCACCUCCUUCCAAGACUAUGACAUUCCAGGAAACCUUCACUGCUAAGAGGAACUAAGAUCUAGAGUAUCUCCUCGAGGAAGUACAACUGACUUGUCUUUGGACAAAAUUGAGAAGAACUCAUAAACUUGGCUUCCUCGCUUCUGCUCCUCAGACGCGCGUGGAUGAUUUGAAGAUAUUAGCCUAACAAGAUGGAAGCAGGUUUAAAAUUUUACAUAAGAAGUUACCUUUUUCAGUUGUGUUGAUGUUCCUUUCAGCUGGUCCUAUAGUACCCCUCCUCAGGAAUGUCUCCCCAGUGCAAGGACAAAGACUGAAGAGACUGCUAUAUUGAUGGACUCUCAAGCCAACUAUGAAGUUGAAACAAAGAAAGUGAUCACCUGAAGACACCUCCUCUGCUAAGAAACACCCCCAAAUUGUGCAGCUUCUGCCACUAGAACUCUCAGAACAAGAGACAAUCUUUUCAAGAAACAGAAAAACUCAAUAAUGACAUCUAGAUUUUCAUGAGCCAAGAACUUUCCCUUCCUCAUGUGUAUUCCUCUGUUUGUACUUAAAUUCAUGUGACAUUCAUUUUUUUCCUAGUAUGGAUAUGCUUAUUAAUGCACUUGUUUCAAAAUCCCAAAUUGCACAAAUGUGUUAAUAUUUUAAGAAACAAAAUGAAUCCUACAAGGAGAAUGAUUUUUAGCCACACAUAGGGUUGGAUCUUGAGAGUGACCUACAGAAUAAAAGUACUUUUAAAAUAAAGUAGUCAGAGGCUAUUCAAAGGGUAAAAUAAUCAUAGUACCACAUUGGUCCACUUGACACUAACCAAUCGAUCAUUUUUUUUUAAUCAAGAAAGCUAGAUUCUAUCAGAUAAAAUCACUGCUUCUAAAGAGUUUAAAUCUAGUUAGAAAAAGUUAUAGAAAUGUUUGCAAAGAUAAGUAACAGAUAGAGUCAGUAGAGGAUAAGAUCAAAAACAAAACCAAGCAAAAGAUGAGUUCAGGGGAGUUUGCCAUCAAGUUGGCAAAACUGACUUACUUAGGGAAGAAAGUUAUAAAACAGGAAAAUAUGAGAUGAACCUUGAGUGAUGUGGAAGAUUUAGAUAAAUGGAAAGGAAGGAGAAAAUGGAGUUCUUUAGGUGGUUGUAAUUGGAGGAGGAAAUGAAUACACACAUCUUGUUGACUUAAACCCAGACAUUCAGCAGCUCUCUAUACAUAUCUGGAAAAGACUGCACAGUCACCUCCUGUCUCUCACCCCAGGUAUUACUUAGAAUUAUUAUCAUAUUUCCCUUCCUUUAAAGUAAGUAAGGGUGAUUGGUGACAAUAUGGAGAACUAUGAUUUUUCCAUUAACCUAAUAAUAAUUGGUAUUUAUUGAGUUCUGUUAAGCAUUUUACAUAUUAACUCACUUAAGCCUUUCAACAGCCUUGCAAAAUAGGUAUUAUUAUCCCCAUUUUACAGGCAAGAAAACUGAGGUUUAAGUAACUUGCCGAAGUGCCAUAUACAGGGCUCACAUUCAGUAUUGCAGUUGCAAAGCUCAUGAUCUAUAGUGCCAAGUUGCAAUAUUGUAGUCAAUGUCACAAUUAUUACCCCUUUUUAUAUUCCUUGAUAUUUUUCCAUGGCAAACAAUUAGCUAUUUCAUUUAAUAAUCACCUAAAACUUUUCAGUCUUCUGAUUAAAAUUACGCUGGAGUGAUAGAAUGUAUUUUCAUGAUAGAAAUUGGGAAAAAAAAUGGGGAAUGAAGUUUAUCAGCAUUUCAGACUUGUUUUUUUUUUUUUUUUUUGCAAGACUUUGAUGAGAUUGUUCACUUUUGUCUAUGUAAAAUCCCAAAUCCUUGAGAAUAAAAAAGGGGGAGGUUUAAGUCACUUGUUGCAAUGCCCUUUUUAAUAGAGGCAAUAAAUCUAAAGGCCAUAAAUUUAGAGUGACUUACAGAAGAUCGAACUUUGGAGUGUGGCAGAGUAAGGGAUGGAAACCGGGCCCUCCAGUUCACUAUCAGUAGCUUUUGCACUGGUCUGCCCUUCCUAAAUUAAGUAUGCACUUCAAUUUGAUGAGUGGAAACAGUCUAUCUGGGCAGUAACCAGGGAGCUUUGUGCCUAGUAGAUUGCUUCUGUUCUGCACUUCUUUGGUUUCCCACCUCAAUGUAAAAAAUAGCUAGCAAUGAAGUCCAGAAGUUGUCAAUGGUUCAUCCCCAGAAGAAUGCAUAAUGUCCAAAGUUGUAUGUGUAUGAUGUCUUCAAUGGUAUUAAGUUAUUUCAAAUUCUUAGUUCACCUACAUAAAUCAUUUCUAACAAGCAUCUUCUUAACCAACUUUAUGCACAGUGUAUGUUUGUAAGUGCUUCUGCACGAAUGUUUAUACAUGACUGUUUCCAUAGUACUUAUGUUUUUAAAAAUAUUCAGUCAUUUCCUACUAUAAUCCUCAUGUAUCCAUGUAACUGACUCAAAAAUACUUCAGCCACAGAAAGCUAAAACUGAGCAAAUCUCAUUCUUCUUUUCCAUCCCCUUUGCAUGUGGCUGGCAUUUAGUAAUGAUUAAUAAUAUGGCCAGCUGAAUAACAGAGGUUUGAGACACAAUUCUUUCUCAAAGGAGUCAGCUAAGCUGGGUCUACUUAUGGACAAACAUCUAAAUGUGUGGAAGUAUCUGAUAUUUGACAAUGGUAAAUUUCCACUUAGCUAGCUAGCAUUGUCAGACUUCAAUCUCCUCAUGGCUCUGGCCGUCCUGUUUUAAGCAUGAUAAUUGUUGGCCACAUCUCACAUAGUUCUCAUUGAGUGAGUUCAUAAAUAAACAGGGUUUUUUUUUUUUUUUAAAGAGCAGCCAAGCACAAAGUGUGACUUUGUUGACAUUUUAUGUGACUUUGUCAUAUGUUCCUAACCCCCAAUAAAAGCAAUGUUGCAUCAACUGUGAA